RNAcentral lists this ribosomal RNA (460 nucleotides) under uncultured bacterium. Its description in RNAcentral is "partial 16S ribosomal RNA". It matches the Rfam family "Bacterial small subunit ribosomal RNA", at positions 338 to 795 of the family's 1533-position model. The record is from RNAcentral.
CCUACGGGAGGCAGCAGUGAGGAAUAUUGGUCAAUGGCCGUAAGGCUGAACCAGCCAAGUAGCGUGAGGGAAGACUGCCCUAUGGGUUGUAAACCUCUUUUAUGCGGGGAUAAAGGCGUCCACGUGUGGCUGUUUGCAGGUACCGCAUGAAUAAGGACCGGCUAAUUCCGUGCCAGCAGCCGCGGUAAUACGGAAGGUCCGGGCGUUAUCCGGAUUUAUUGGGUUUAAAGGGAGCGUAGGCCGGUCUUUAAGCGUGCCGUGAAAUUUUGUGGCUCAACCAUGGGAGUGCGGCGCGAACUGGAGACCUUGAGAGCGCGGAAGGCAGGCGGAAUUCGUGGUGUAGCGGUGAAAUGCUUAGAUAUCACGAAGAACCCCGAUUGCGAAGGCAGCCUGCCGCAGCGGUACUGACGCUGAGGCUCGAAAGCGCGGGUAUCGAACAGGAUUAGAUACCCGAGUAGUC